GAUGAACGCUGGCGGCGUGCCUAAUACAUGCAAGUCGAGCGAACAGACGAGGAUCUUGCUCCUCUGACGUUAGCGGCGGACGGGUGAGUAACACGUGGAUACCCUACCUAUAAGACUGGGAUCACUUCGGGAAACCGGAUCUAACACCGGAUAAUAUAUUGAACCGCAUGGUUCAAUAGUGAAAGACGGUUUUGCUGUCACUUAUAGAGGGAUCCGCGCCGCAUUGGCUAGUUGGUAAGGUACCGGCUUACCAAGGCAACGAUGCGUAGCCGACCUGAGAGGGUGAUCGGCCACACUGGAACUGAGACACGGUCCAGACUCCUACGGGAGGCAGCAGUAGGGAAUCUUCCGCAAUGGGCGAAAGCCUGACGGAGCAACGCCGCGUGAGUGAUGAAGGUCUUCGGAUCGUAAAACUCUGUUAUUAGGGAAGAACAAAUGUGUAAGUAACUAUGGCCGUCUUGACGGUACCUAAUCAGAAAGCAACGGCUAACUACGUG
Molecule: ribosomal RNA, 497 nt
Filed under: uncultured bacterium
Lineage: Bacteria
Description: partial 16S ribosomal RNA
Rfam family: Bacterial small subunit ribosomal RNA
Source: RNAcentral